This 324-nucleotide ribosomal RNA is filed under the name uncultured bacterium. RNAcentral's name for it is "bacterial SSU rRNA". It matches the Rfam family "Bacterial small subunit ribosomal RNA", at positions 28 to 334 of the family's 1533-position model. The record is from RNAcentral.
GAUGAACGCUGGCGGCGUGCUUAACACAUGCAAGUCGAACGGAACUGUUUGGAUGAAGUUUUCGGAUGGAUUUUUAAACAGUUUAGUGGCGGACGGGUGAGUAACGCGUGGGUAACCUGCCUCACACUGGGGGAUAACGUUUGGAAACGAACGCUAAUACCGCAUAACGUGAGAAGAGGGCAUCCUCUUUUUACCAAAGAUUUAUCGCUGAGAGAUGGGCUCGCGGCCGAUUAGGUAGUUGGUGAGAUAACAGCCCACCAAGCCGACGAUCGGUAGCCGGACUGAGAGGUUGAUCGGCCACAUUGGGACUGAGACACGGCCCAG